GACAGAGGAUGCAAGCGUUAUCCGGAAUGAUUGGGCGUAAAGCGUCUGUAGGCGGCUAGGUAAGUCUUCUGUGAAAUCUACGGGCUUAACUCGUUAAAGUGCAGAAGAUACUGCUUGGCUAGAGUGUCGGAGAGGAUAGUGGAAUUCCCGGUGUAGAGGUGAAAUUCGUAGAGAUGUGGAGGAACACCGAUGGCGAAGGCAGCCUCCUGGGCCAGCACUGACGCUCAUGCACGAAAGCGUGGGGAGCAAACAGG
RNAcentral lists this ribosomal RNA (254 nucleotides) under uncultured bacterium. Its description in RNAcentral is "partial 16S ribosomal RNA". It matches the Rfam family "Bacterial small subunit ribosomal RNA", at positions 524 to 776 of the family's 1533-position model. The record is from RNAcentral.